Molecule: ribosomal RNA, 503 nt
Filed under: uncultured Actinomycetes bacterium
Lineage: Bacteria; Bacillati; Actinomycetota; Actinomycetes
Description: bacterial SSU rRNA
Rfam family: Bacterial small subunit ribosomal RNA
Source: RNAcentral
AGAGUUUGAUCAUGGCUCAGGACGAACGCUGGCGGCGUGCUUAACACAUGCAAGUCGAACGGUGACCUCGGAGCUUGCUCCGGGCGAUCAGUGGCGAACGGGUGAGUAACACGUGAGUAACCUGCCCCAGACUCUGGGAUAACCCCGGGAAACCGGAGCUAAUACCGGAUACGACACGAAGAGGCAUCUCUAUCGUGUGGAAAGUUUUUCGGUCUGGGAUGGACUCGCGGCCUAUCAGCUAGUUGGUGAGGUAACGGCUCACCAAGGCGACGACGGGUAGCCGGCCUGAGAGGGCGACCGGCCACACUGGGACUGAGACACGGCCCAGACUCCUACGGGAGGCAGCAGUGGGGAAUAUUGCACAAUGGGCGAAAGCCUGAUGCAGCGACGCCGCGUGGGGGAUGACGGCCUUCGGGUUGUAAACCCCUUUCAGCAGGGAAGAAGCGAAAGUGACGGUACCUGCAGAAGAAGCACCGGCUAACUACGUGCCAGCAGCCGCGGUA